RNAcentral lists this ribosomal RNA (566 nucleotides) under Pleosporales sp. RNAcentral describes it as "partial 18S ribosomal RNA". The stretch from base 224 to 376 matches the Rfam family "5.8S ribosomal RNA". The record is from RNAcentral. Lineage: Eukaryota; Fungi; Ascomycota; Dothideomycetes; Pleosporales.
UUUGGGAAGUAAAAAAUCGUAACAAGGUCUCCGUAGGUGAACCUGCGGAGGGAUCAUUACACAAAUAUGAAGGCGGGCUGGAACCUCUCGGGGUUACAGCCUUGCUGAAUUAUUCACCCUUGUCUUUUGCGUACUUCUUGUUUCCUUGGUGGGUUCCCCACCACUAGGACAAACAUAAACCUUUUGUAAUUGCAAUCAGCGUCAGUAACAAAUUAAUAAUUACAACUUUCAACAACGGAUCUCUUGGUUCUGGCAUCGAUGAAGAACGCAGCGAAAUGCGAUAAGUAGUGUGAAUUGCAGAAUUCAGUGAAUCAUCGAAUCUUUGAACCACAUUGCGCCCUUUGGUAUUCCAAAGGGCAUGCCUGUUCGAGCGUCAUUUGUACCCUCAAGCUUUGCUUGGUGUUGGGCGUCUUGUCUCUAGCUUUGCUGGAGACUCGCCUUAAAGUAAUUGGCAGCCGGCCUACUGGUUUCGGAGCGCAGCACAAGUCGCACUCUCUAUCAGCAAAGGUCUAGCAUCCAUUAAGCCUUUUUUCAACUUUGACCUCGGAUCAGGUAGGAACCCCCAC